This 1287-nucleotide long non-coding RNA is filed under the name Eucalyptus grandis. RNAcentral's name for it is "long non-coding RNA (EGRA_LNC002735)". Lineage: Eukaryota; Viridiplantae; Streptophyta; Magnoliopsida; Myrtales; Myrtaceae. The record is from RNAcentral.
CUGCAUCGACUGCAACAUCAUGAGGUAUUGUUUAGAAUUAUUGGUCAUGGCCAUCCACAAAAGCAGCGGUCAUUCGCACUCUAGCACGAGCCUUAUGGACAACCCGAUCCAUAGAUCAAGCGUGUGGAAGAGCCAGAAGUGUGGGUAUGUACUCAAAGUUCCAAGCCUUGGAGGAUUCCUAGGUUGUCGACUACUACGAAAACAAUCAAUCGAACAAUAAAAAUGUUGUAAACUUAGUAUUAUUAUUUGUUGUAAUCAAUAAAAUUAAACUGAAAUAUAAUUAUGACAAUGGGAUAGCAAAUUUGAUAAUGAUCAAGUCAAUGAGCAAAUGCAUUGAAUGAAUUUUCUUAACAAGGGAAGAUGACAAAAUUACAAAUCAAAUAUAGAUUUACAAAAUCGCUAUAAAAUCAUAAUAGAACUAAACAGUAGAUGAGGUACAAAUUACCAAAUCUUCUUAAGGCGAUUAGCUUAUGCUAAAAAUGCUUUGCAAAUUUACAAACUUUGUCUCCCAAAAGUUAACUCCCCGAAUAUGUUUGCAUAAACACUAUGCAAAUAUGACUUGAUUGAACUUUUCCUCAAACUGGAAAAAUUAAAGAUUAAAACAGUUAUCUAAGCAUAGAAGUGUUGUAUAUUCUUUGUUUUUCUUUGAAGAACAAUUUGUUUCAAUUUAUAAUGUUUGAAAGGGUAGGAACUAAAGAGACAUAUUUAAAAGGACAUGAAUGUACAUGUCUUUUAAAGGCAAAGAAACUACUAUAGAAAAUUAAAAGGACAUGAAUGUACAUGUCUUUUAAAGGCAAAGAAACUACUAUAGAAAUUUGAAAGGACAUGAAUUGAAGAGACAUGUAUGUUUUGCUCACUUUACAUAGUUUGGUCUGUGUAACAUAUGUCCACGGUGAGAAUAGUAUAGAAUUCCACUAUGGACCAAGCAAUAUAAUGAAGACUAUAACCACACUUAAGUCACUCAAAUACUCUUAGUAUUCACAACCCUCAAUUACACAUAAUAACUAACAUAGUGUUUAACCCCAUAAUUUCUCACAAAAUAAUCUCUCAAUCUUGCCAAAAAAAAGAAAAAUCACAAAUCUUACUAUAAGAUUUAUUGGUCUCAACAAUCCGUUACUUCAGGGUGCAAUUCACAAAAAAAUAGCCUUAUUGAUAUUCUUUACAAAUAAAACCCUUUUUAUAUAUAGACAAUAAUUGGAUCUAAAAGACAAAAACCUACUUAAACUCUAUAAAUAGGAAAUCAACUUCAACUAGGAAACCAAUUUAUAUUAUGAAAGUUUCAUUUUA